AGGCGACGACGGGUAGCCGGCCUGAGAGGGCGACCGGCCACACUGGGACUGAGACACGGCCCAGACUCCUACGGGAGGCAGCAGUGGGGAAUAUUGCGCAAUGGGCGAAAGCCUGACGCAGCAACGCCGCGUGCGGGAUGAAGGCCUUCGGGUUGUAAACCGCUUUCAGCAGGGAAGAAGCCGCAAGGUGACGGUACCUGCAGAAGAAGCACCGGCUAACUACGUGCCAGCAGCCGCGGUAAUACGUAGGGUGCAAGCGUUGUCCGGAUUUAUUGGGCGUAAAGAGCUCGUAGGCGGUCUGUUACGUCGGUUGUGAAAACUCGGGGCUUAACCCCGAGCCUGCAUCCGAUACGGGCAGACUUGAGUGUGGUAGG
Molecule: ribosomal RNA, 374 nt
Filed under: uncultured bacterium
Lineage: Bacteria
Description: bacterial SSU rRNA
Rfam family: Bacterial small subunit ribosomal RNA
Source: RNAcentral